Long non-coding RNA from Musca vetustissima, 719 nucleotides. RefSeq lists it as uncharacterized. The transcript has 2 exons. NCBI's taxonomy places the organism in Eukaryota, Metazoa, Arthropoda, Insecta, Diptera, Muscidae. The record is from RefSeq and is a predicted model, not a curated record.
ACUCCAUUGGCUGCCAAAAUCAGAUGUUUUUUGUUUUGAAUUAAAAUUGCACAAAGUGGAUGAAAAAAUAUUGAAGUUGCAAAAAGUGCCAACGAAACGCGAAAUGUUGUCUUUAAAUAUGUCCGUAUUCGAUCCAUUCGGGUGUCUUGGUGAUUUCAUGGUGACGUCGAAGAUAAUUAUGCAAAAUGUGUGGAAAAGUUGUAUAAAGUGGGACGAGGAGUUGCCGGCCGCGAUUUAUAGCCGCUGGAUGACCUGGCUGGAGGAAUUGCCUAAAUUAAAGGAUUUCAAAGUUCCGAGGUGUUACAGUGAUUGAUUUUUUAAUGGUAUAGUAGAUUUGCAUGUGUUUGUGGAUGCCAGUGAAGAUGCAAUGGCUGCUGUGACAUACUGGCGUAUAGUAACAAAUUGUGGUGUAAGUGUUGUGUUCGUUAUGGGCAAGACGAGCUGUGCCCCAACAAGAUACCAUACUAUACCUAAGCAUGAGUUACAAGCAGCAGUAAUUGGAAUUCCUCAACAGUGAUAAGUUGGAUCCGUUCAGAACACCGUACAUACAAACAAUAUGUGGCAAAUAGAGUGUAGGAGAUUCUGGAAAGCAGCCGUAUGGAGCAGUGGCGGUGGUGUCCAGGAGCGGAUAACCCAGCUGACGAAGGGACCCGUGCUAAAGGACCCAAGAAGUACCAGCCAGAAGGACGUUGGAAAAAUGGGCCAGAAUUCCUGAGAAA